GUUAAAAUAGCAUAUUUAUGCAUUAGGCUUAAGAUCUAGAGAUAAGAAUUAGUUAAUUCUUUUUUAAUA
Molecule: transfer RNA, 69 nt
Filed under: Ennucula tenuis
Lineage: Eukaryota; Metazoa; Mollusca; Bivalvia; Nuculida; Nuculidae
Description: tRNA-Leu
Rfam family: tRNA
About the family: Transfer RNA (tRNA) molecules are approximately 80 nucleotides in length. Their secondary structure includes four short double-helical elements and three loops (D, anti-codon, and T loops).
Source: RNAcentral